RNAcentral lists this ribosomal RNA (253 nucleotides) under uncultured bacterium. RNAcentral describes it as "partial 16S ribosomal RNA". It matches the Rfam family "Bacterial small subunit ribosomal RNA", at positions 524 to 776 of the family's 1533-position model. The record is from RNAcentral.
UACGAAGGGAGCUAGCGUUGUUCGGAAUCACUGGGCGUAAAGCGCACGUAGGCGGAUGUGUCAGUCAGGGGUGAAAUCCCGGAGCUCAACUUCGGAACUGCCUUUGAUACAGCACGUCUUGAGUCCGAUAGAGGUGGGUGGAAUUCCUAGUGUAGAGGUGAAAUUCGUAGAUAUUCGCAAGAACACCAGUGGCGAAGGCGGCUUACUGGUCCGGUUCUGACGCUGAGGCGCGAAAGCGUGGGUAGCAAACAGG